ACACGUCACGGCGUGGCGCGACACGUCAGCUGCCCUCUGUUCUCCAUUGUGUGUGUGUGUGUGUCGUUGGAAUUCGGCCCCGCGCAGACGGAAGGGAACGUUCCUAUUACGCACGCAUGCAGAUUAUGACCAAGGAACGUGGUCACACGCAAGAGACGUAUGCUGACGCAGGACGCAGCGCAGGCACCACGAGGUUAACUUCCGGCUUGAUGCAAUGGGCAAUAAAACUACCAGAUUUUUCUGCACAUAAUAACAAUCGUUAAAAAAGCACCGAAAAGGCGUUGAUUAAUAUUAUCGGCAGUUUAAUUUCCAUUGGAAUACGUGAUGGAAAAGAUAAAAAUAAUCUCCCAUUCCAGUCACAAGAAACAUUGUUGCGAUUGUCGUAGGAGGGUAUCCUUUCAUUAACUUGUGAUAGUUUAAAAGUCAAUUUACUAUUUUUAUUUACAAAUUCAGAGAUAGUAUUUGAAGACGUGGGAGGAUCCGCCAGGAUAUAAUUACACGGAGCGGUUCAAAUGAUAUCACAAAUCGUGACUAACCGUCCAGCGCUUUAUAACGGAGUAAUAAAACCGGAUUUGUGUAUUUUUUGGUUUAAAUAUUUUGCAGAUUUAUUUCGCAUUUUUUAACUGUUAUACGGCCGACUUCAGCAUGUCGGUAAAAAUAGAUUUAUAUGUGGCAUGCCUUCGUACUAUGAAAAGUAUAUGACGUAACCCUUGCAGAAUAGAAUUUGUGGCCGACGUGUGAAAAGUUUUAUCAGUUCAAAGUGAUAUGUUGCCGUUCUGUUACCGUGUGAUUAUGAGUUCUCUUUUAACAUUGUACACAUAUAAUAAUAAUUACAGCACGGAAACAGGCCAUCUCGACCCUUCUAGUCCGUGCCGAACACAUAAUCUCCCCUGGUCCCAUCUGCCUGCACUCAGACCAUAACCUUCCAUUCCUUUCCCAUCCAUAUAACUAUCCAAUUUAUUUUUAAAUGAUAAAAACGAACCUGCCUCCACCACCUUCACUGGAAGCUCAUUCCACACAGCUACCACUCUCUGAGUAAAGAAGUUUCCCCUCAUGUUACCCCUAAACUUCUGUCCCUUAAUUCUCAAGUCAUAUCCCCUUGUUUCAAUCUUCCCUACUCUCAGUGGGAAAAGCUUAUUCACGUCAACUCUGUCUAUCCCUCUCAUCAUUUUAAAGACCUCUAUCAAUCCCCCCCUUAACCUUCUGCGCUCCAAAGAAUAAAGCUGGAUGUUUUGUUAAUCCUUAUGUUUUACAUCCUAAACAUAAUUGGUCCCCAGAACCCCUUGGGUUGGAGCAACUGAUGUUUGAUUGUUUUAUAAUGUAGAUGUUCUAUG
This is a long non-coding RNA of Leucoraja erinaceus (little skate), 1334 nucleotides long. RefSeq lists it as uncharacterized. The record is from RefSeq and is a predicted model, not a curated record. The transcript is spliced from 3 exons. Lineage: Eukaryota; Metazoa; Chordata; Chondrichthyes; Rajiformes; Rajidae.